GCCAGGACUGGCGGCUCCGAGGCUGCAGACUGUCGCGCUGCCAGGGACCGGACAGCUCAUAAAAACCGGUCUCGUUUUGGAUGGAGGUGAAGGGUUCUAGAAGUCCGGUCUUCCGCUCAGGUAACCGAUUGUGCACCCACCCACCCCAAUCCUGAUGCUCUGGAACUCUACAUUCUCUUUCCCCUCGGCCCUUUGCUUUCCUGUCCCAUGUGGACCUCACUGACUGCCACCUCCGCGGAUGCCUUUCUCGCCAGCCCCUCUUGGACUCAGCUAGGUAGCUCCAGGGACUGGUCGGUAUCAUCUAGGUGUUCCAGUACACCGGCCUGGCCCCCAGCAGCCUGGCUUUGCCGAACUCAAGACACAGACGCACUAGCUCUAACCGACGUCGCACAGCAGCCCCUUCACGCCGCCUGGGUACCCAAGGUGGCAAGGCGCCAAGUCGCACCCUGGGCCGGUAUUACCAGUUCCUGUCCUCUCUGCAUCUUCCCCGUCAGGCGCCAUCUCCCCUCUCUCGGGGCGACACUGUGUCUCCCUAGUCCGGCCACUGCGACCCUUCAGGACUUACCGCGGCCGGCACACCAUCACCGCCGCCUGGUCUGCGCGCUGCGAGGCGGAGCAGGACACCCGCCUGCGCCAGGGCAUCCUCUCGCGCCCGCCACACCCGCCCACUCCGGUGGCCCGGGGUCCUCCCGCGCAGCUCUGGUGCUCGGGACUUACCUCCGGGACAAGGUGACCCGGCUGGUGCGCCCAGGCGGCCGCCCGCGCGUCUCGAGAGCCGGGAAGCGUGAGGGGCGCGGGGCGGUGCGGAGCCCGCCUCUGCUUCUGGGCUCGUGGCUCUCCGCCUCUGCCCUCCCCUGCGCGCAGCUUCCCCCGCCGCUCCCCUCCUUGGAUCACUGCCAGCGCCCUGGGCUGCCCCGAGCACACAGUUCCCGAGAGCCGAACACAGGGCUGCGGCGCCACCCUUCCAGAACCCGGUCCUCUUGGCCCCUAGGAGCACAAAGGGCGCGGGCUGAACUAGGGGUGACCCGGGAUGUGCCGUUCCACUCUUUGGUCUCGCGGAGCCUGGCGACUUGUGUGCAAGAGUAUGCGGCCGCGGUCCCCGGGAGAAGGUGGCCGUGAGGAAGAGGAGGGGGAGAGAGAGCGGCAGCACACGAAGGUGGCCACUAACUUUGCUCCAGGCUAGCUGUGCCCUCGCCAGUGAUAGCGGCUGGCGGGUGGCCGGGGGCUAGUGUCUGGAAACGUUGGGGCGACUGAGAUGGGGGAAGGGGGACUGCCACUGGGAACUAGGAGGACAAGAAUUAGCCGCCGACUGUGGAAACGGUGGCUUCCCUUGGUCCUAAAAGACCUCCCAGGCUCCAGGUCGACUUGAGGUUCAGAAGGUUUCUCUGGACACUGUAGGUUCAGAGAAAGACCCACGUCCUGACCAGCAGAAGGAAUAAAGACAGAGACCAGCCUGAAAUCGGUACUCUGGGACUCAAGCCUGUAGCUCGGACCAACACCAUUGUAGGUGCACUGCGGGUGGCCCCAUGGUAGUUGCUGUGGAAGGAAACUGGGCCGACGACGCCUUGGGGGUGGGGCAGAGUGGUGGCUUGGAGUAGGUCGAGGAGAGCCCUAGUAGAGCCGCCUACGAAGACAAUCUACAUUUCAAACGUUGGGGAAAAUCAUGCUCGAGUGGGCGUGUUUUCCUUACAGAUUUUAUAGAGAAGGAAUUAGAAAAUUCGCCAAAAAGAGGAUCAAAAGUUGUCUUAUCUGAAUGACCCCCUUUCAAAACAAGGGAAAAUUCACCUUGCUUCAGCUCUCCCAAACCCAAACUUUUUCUCCCUGGGGAGUCAACAUUGCUAAUUCCCUAGUGGUUCCUUGGAUCUAUAGCUAUCUUGUAUAGAUUCCUGCCCCUUGCCUCAAAACCAAGAUUUUGCCCCCAGAAACUGCCGCAUCUAGCCAAGUAGAAUUUGGAGUGUCAGAGUUGGAGGUAGCUCAAAUCCUGCCUGGGAGCCCUGUGCAGCACUUGGCUUCUGGGGACCUUUAGCUGUACAUAGAAAACAAAAAAAUCAGAUUUGGAUGGCUUAGGAAGGAGGUUGAGCUGAUUAGUGGACCCAGGUGUGUUCAGAGAAGCUCCUUGCUUGGGUUCAUCUGAACGUCUUCUUUACAUCUAAAUAUCACACUCAUUCUCAACUUCUGCAGCAGCUAGGCACCUGGCUUUCUUCUACUGGUUGCUCUGAGCUCCAGGCAGCUCUUUUAUCUGGGACAGCCUGAAAAGGACAUUGUGAGUAUCCCCCAUUUAGUAUCUCUUAAAUUAACAGAAACUGUCAGCCUUACCUCUCUCUGUAAAACAGCUUAUGGUCUCUGGUUCCUUCCUGAACAGAACAUUCUCUGCUCUCCUGUGAACUGCUAGGCUGAGCAUCCAUUGUUAGAGCCAUGCAGGAUGCAGAAUCAACACUGCUGUUUGUCUAUUGAAGAGAUGGAGACUUGAAAGGCUGAGAGAGUCUUGUCUCCCAAACUGCCGGGGUCACCUACAACUAUAAUUCAUUCUCUGUGUCUAAGCCAAGCUAUCUUGGUAGUCAGCCUUUAGGUUGCCUUAGAGGUUCACUUGGGUUUGCCAGAGCAUCUGCUUGGUUUACAACUGCUAGAAUUUUAAAGCGAGUUUUCCCCCCAAAAUUGCAGUCAGGUAACUUGUCAAAUGUAGGGUUAAGACUCACCAUGGAUCCCAACUGUCUCUGUGUUACCUCCAAAUAGAACAAUGGCCUCCAGGGUUGAGUCCCUGUGACCUGCCUCUAUGUGUUAGAUAUUGCGAAAAUUUUCCAUGGAUGAUUUACUGGGUCUGCAUAGGAACACAGGCAUUUAUUCACAGAUGGACAGCAUUUUCCAGCCUUUGGUUGUCUGGAUAGGUAGGUAGAUAGAUAGAUAGAUAGAUAGAUAGAUAGAUAGAUAGAUAGAUAGAUAGUAUGUGUGUUUCUGUGUGUGUGGUGUGCGUGUUUGAAUUUCUGAGAUAAUGUCAAAGACUUAUUUUUCUUAAUCUACAUUAUCCACUUUGCCACUUAAUAUGUUACUUUCUAAUUGUAGACUGGAUGUUCGCCUCUCAGUUGAAGCUGGGAUUUUUAUUGUGUUUUAAAAGAAAUUUACACUUCCUAGUUGAGAAUCAUGUAUUAAGAGGGAUCUCAUCUAUUACUGUUAGAGGAUAGAAUACCUCAGUUAAUCUGGAAUACAGCACACAUGUGAGCCAGUUUUUCCUACAUGCAAAGUCAUAGUGGUUCAGAAUGUGAUUGUAGCGAUUUUGAUAAAAUAUAGCAGUGAAAUAAAGGUUUUC
RNAcentral lists this long non-coding RNA (3304 nucleotides) under Mus musculus (house mouse). Its description in RNAcentral is "RIKEN cDNA C530025M09 gene". Lineage: Eukaryota; Metazoa; Chordata; Mammalia; Rodentia; Muridae. The record is from RNAcentral.